Molecule: ribosomal RNA, 255 nt
Filed under: uncultured bacterium
Lineage: Bacteria
Description: partial 16S ribosomal RNA
Rfam family: Bacterial small subunit ribosomal RNA
Source: RNAcentral
UACGUAGGGGGCAAGCGUUGUCCGGAAUCAUUGGGCGUAAAGCGCGUGUAGGCGGCUCGAUAAGUCUGCUGUGAAAGUCCAAGGCUCAACCUUGGGAUGCCGGUGGAUACUGUCGAGCUCGAGUCCGGAAGAGGAGUGUGGAAUUCCUGGUGUAGCGGUGAAAUGCGCAGAUAUCAGGAGGAACACCAAUGGCGAAGGCAGCACUCUGGGACGUGACUGACGCUGAGACGCGAAAAGCGUGGGGGAGCAAACAGG